CCUGAAGAUACCUUCCGGCGCAGUGUCCACACAGAUUGUCUGAUAGAAGUAACGAGCAAAGUCACACCAGAGUCCCCAUCGUCUAGAGGCCCAGGACACUGCCCUUUCACGGCUGUAACAGGGGUUCGAAUCCCCUUGGGGACGCCAUACCGGUAACGAAGUGAAAGACGUUAUCACCCGUAUCUCAAAACUGAUUCCGCGAAAGCGAGUCACGUUUGAGAUAUUUGCUCUUUAACAAUCCGGAACAAGCUGAAAAUUGAAACGACAUGUUGUGUUCAUUCUCCGUAAUCAGAAUGAAGCCACGAUAUGUUCGAGUCUCUCAAUGCCUGCAACCGACACACGUCUUUCGGGACGCUUGUGGGUUGUGA
This 368-nucleotide unclassified non-coding RNA is filed under the name Erwinia amylovora. Its description in RNAcentral is "16S-23S ribosomal RNA intergenic spacer". The stretch from base 72 to 144 matches the Rfam family "tRNA". The record is from RNAcentral. Lineage: Bacteria; Pseudomonadati; Pseudomonadota; Gammaproteobacteria; Enterobacterales; Erwiniaceae.